RNAcentral lists this ribosomal RNA (200 nucleotides) under uncultured bacterium. RNAcentral's name for it is "partial 16S ribosomal RNA". It matches the Rfam family "Bacterial small subunit ribosomal RNA", at positions 8 to 209 of the family's 1533-position model. The record is from RNAcentral.
AGAGUUUGAUCCUGGCUCAGAUUGAACGCUGGAGGCGUGCUUAACACAUGCAAGUCGUGCGAGAAAGGGACUUCGGUCCUGAGUAGAGCGGCGCACGGGUGAGUAACGCGUGGGUGAUCUCCCUUGGUGAUCGGGAUAACAGCGGGAAACUGCUGCUAAUACCGGAUAAUCUUCAUGUUUAACUUCAUGGGGUAAAGGUG